Molecule: ribosomal RNA, 314 nt
Filed under: uncultured bacterium
Lineage: Bacteria
Description: partial 16S ribosomal RNA
Rfam family: Bacterial small subunit ribosomal RNA
Source: RNAcentral
UUAUAAGAGACAGCAGUAGCCGCGGUAACACGGAGGGUGCAAGCGUUACUCGGAAUUACUGGGCGUAAAGCGUGCGUAGGUGGUGGUUUAAGUCCGUUGUGAAAGCCCUGGGCUCAACCUGGGAAUUGUAGUGGAUACUGGAUCACUAGAGUGUGGUAGAGGAUAGUGGAAUUUCCGGUGUAGCAGUGAAAUGCGUAGAGAUCGGAAGGAACAUCUGUGGCGAAGGCGACUAUCUGGGCCAACACUGGCACUGAGGCACGAAAGCGUGGGGAGCAAACAGGAUUAGAUACCCCGGUAGUCCCUGUCUCUUAUAC